Molecule: ribosomal RNA, 157 nt
Filed under: uncultured fungus
Lineage: Eukaryota; Fungi
Description: 5.8S ribosomal RNA
Rfam family: 5.8S ribosomal RNA
About the family: 5.8S ribosomal RNA (5.8S rRNA) is a component of the large subunit of the eukaryotic ribosome. It is transcribed by RNA polymerase I as part of the 45S precursor that also contains 18S and 28S rRNA.
Source: RNAcentral
AAACUUUCAACAACGGAUCUCUUGGUUCUGGCAUCGAUGAAGAACGCAGCGAAAUGCGAUAAUUAAUGUGAAUUGCAGACUCAGUGAAUCCUCGAAUCUUUGAACGCACAUUGCGCCCUCUGGUAUUCCGGGGGGCAUGCCUGUUCGAGCGUCAUUA